UGCUAAUCUCAUGGUGGCCAGGAAGCAAU
This 29-nucleotide non-coding RNA is filed under the name Rattus norvegicus (Norway rat). Lineage: Eukaryota; Metazoa; Chordata; Mammalia; Rodentia; Muridae. The record is from RNAcentral.